UACAGAGGUCUCAACCGUUGUUCGGAUUCAUUGGGCGUAAAGGGUGCGUAGGCGGUCGUGCAAGUCGGAUGUGAAAUCUCAGGGCUCAACCCUGAAACUGCAUUCGAUACUGCGCGGCUAGAGUGCUGGAGGGGAGACUGGAAUUUACGGUGUAGCAGUGAAAUGCGUAGAUAUCGUAAGGAAGACCAGUGGCGAAGGCGAGUCUCUGGACAGCAACUGACGCUGAGGUGCGAAAGCGUGGGGAGCAAACAGG
This 253-nucleotide ribosomal RNA is filed under the name uncultured bacterium. RNAcentral describes it as "partial 16S ribosomal RNA". It matches the Rfam family "Bacterial small subunit ribosomal RNA", at positions 524 to 776 of the family's 1533-position model. The record is from RNAcentral.